Molecule: ribosomal RNA, 114 nt
Filed under: Cordylochernes scorpioides
Lineage: Eukaryota; Metazoa; Arthropoda; Arachnida; Pseudoscorpiones; Chernetidae
Source: RNAcentral
ACGGCCAUACCACAUUGAAAACACCGGUUCACGUCCGAUCACCAAAGUUAAGCAAUGUCAGGCCGGUCAGUACUUGGGAGGGUGACCACCUGGGAACACCGGGUGAUGUAGGCU